CAAGAAGACCUUGUUGA
RNAcentral lists this small RNA (17 nucleotides) under Arabidopsis thaliana (thale cress). RNAcentral's name for it is "ATSL192150". Lineage: Eukaryota; Viridiplantae; Streptophyta; Magnoliopsida; Brassicales; Brassicaceae. The record is from RNAcentral.